GACGAACGCUGGCGGCGUGCUUAACACAUGCAAGUCGAACGGAAAGGCCCUGCUUUUGUGGGGUGCUCGAGUGGCGAACGGGUGAGUAACACGUGAGUAACCUGCCCUUGACUUUGGGAUAACUUCAGGAAACUGGGGCUAAUACCGGAUAGGAGCUCCUGCUGCAUGGUGGGGGUUGGAAAGUUUCGGCGGUUGGGGAUGGACUCGCGGCUUAUCAGCUUGUUGGUGGGGUAGUGGCUUACCAAGGCGUUGACGGGUAGCCGGCCUGAGAGGGUGACCGGCCACAUUGGGACUGAGAUGCGGCCCAGACUCCUACGGGAGGCAGCAGUGGGGAAUAUUGCACAAUGGGCGGAAGCCUGAUGCAGCAACGCCGCGUGCGGGAUGACGGCCUUCGGGUUGUAAACCGCUUUCGCCUGUGACGAAGCGGGAGUGACGGUAAUGGAUAAAGAAGCACCGGCUAACUACGUG
RNAcentral lists this ribosomal RNA (468 nucleotides) under uncultured bacterium. Its description in RNAcentral is "partial 16S ribosomal RNA". It matches the Rfam family "Bacterial small subunit ribosomal RNA", at positions 28 to 507 of the family's 1533-position model. The record is from RNAcentral.